RNAcentral lists this ribosomal RNA (238 nucleotides) under uncultured bacterium. RNAcentral's name for it is "partial 16S ribosomal RNA". It matches the Rfam family "Bacterial small subunit ribosomal RNA", at positions 15 to 229 of the family's 1533-position model. The record is from RNAcentral.
GAUCAUGGCUCAGGACGAACGCUGGCGGCGUGCUUAACACAUGCAAGUCGGACGAAGAGCGAUGGAAGCUUGCUUCUAUCAAUCUUAGUGGCGAACGGGUGAGUAACGCGUAAUCAACCUGCCCUUCAGAGGGGGACGAACAGUUGGAAACGACUGCUAAUACCGCAUACGAUCCAACCUCGGCAUCGAGGAUGGAUGAAAGGUGGCCUCUAUUUAUAAGCUAUCACUGAAGGAGGGG